This 704-nucleotide ribosomal RNA is filed under the name uncultured bacterium. RNAcentral's name for it is "bacterial SSU rRNA". It matches the Rfam family "Bacterial small subunit ribosomal RNA", at positions 94 to 788 of the family's 1533-position model. The record is from RNAcentral.
AGUGGCGAACGGGUGAGUAACACGUAGGUAAUCUACCUUUUAGUUGGGGAUAGCCUGUGGAAACACAGGGUAAUACCGAAUACGGUCUUUACUGUGAAGGUAAAGAAGAAAGAGGCUAAGGCCUCGCUGGAAGUUGAGCCUGCGGCUCAUUAGCUAGUUGGUGGGGUAAAGGCCUACCAAGGCGACGAUGAGUAGCCGGCCUGAGAGGGCGACCGGUCACACUGGGACUGAGACACGGCCCAGACUCCUACGGGAGGCAGCAGCUAAGAAUCUUCCGCAAUGGUCGAAAGGCUGACGGAGCGACGCCGCGUGGACGAAGAAGGCCGGAAGGUUGUAAAGUCCUUUUCUCAGAGAAGAAUAAUGUGUGGAGGGAAUGCCACGCAGAUGACGUUAUCUGAGGAAUAAGCCCCGGCUAAUUACGUGCCAGCAGCCGCGGUAACACGUAAGGGGCAAGCGUUGUUCGGAAUUAUUGGGCGUAAAGGGCGCGUAGGCGGCUUGGCAAGCCUGGUGUGAAAGGCCACAGCUUAACUGUGGGAGUGCGCUGGGAACUGCUUGGCUAGAGUUCAGGAGGGGAAGCUGGAAUUCCUGGUGUAGGGGUGAAAUCUGUAGAUAUCAGGAAGAACACCUGAGGCGAAGGCGAGCUUCUGGCCAUGAACUGACGCUGAGGCGCGAAAGCGUGGGGAGCGAACAGGAUUAGAUACCCU